UACUGCUUACGAGCAUCGAGUGUGGUCAAGCUAUGUAGACCCUUAGGAGCUUGUCAUGCGGUUAAAAUCAAGAUUCACUUGCACGUUUACUCAUACAUGCUGCCUCUACUCCAGAAGUACGCAUCCACAUACAUCCACUCAUUUCCAUCUCCAGAUUCAACCAAAAUUAUUCUACUCCUAUCUGGGAGAGAAUAGCCAAAAACAUUAUCCUAUCCCUAUUAUUCCCUUUGAAAUAAAUGCUCGAGAUAUUUUGGUUACUACCACUUGCUACAUUAUUCCAGGAGGGUGAGUGCUCUGAAAAAAAGUAAAUACGAGAAAACAAAAAGGGACAAGUGCCCGGAACCUCGAAGAAAAGAAAAAAGUGAGACGAGAGGUAAAAAUGGACAAGUGUCCGACAGUAGAAUUAGGGGUACAAGAUACCCACCUGAGAGAAAAGAAAAAUAAAAUAUAGAGCGUCUCAUUCCCCUUAAAAGCCUCAAGUGCAAGAAAGGUAUGUACCCCCUCAAAAGAGCAAAAGAAGAAUUAGACUUUCACCAUUAUUUUCACCAUUAUCACCAUUCAUUCGCCACACAUGCACAUCUUGAUUUUACUUAUUGACUUGUUCUUCUAGAUCCAUGGUUUGACUAUGCAAUAAGUGUCUUGUAAGUAUGUAUUAGCUGUCUCCCACCUAUGAGCUCCAGAUAUCAAAACCUUAUUAGUGUAGGGUGAGAAAGAAUGCAAUACCACUAUGCCUCAUACCAAAAAUACCACAUACUUUGAGAGAAGGCAUACACCAUUAUUGUCUUGGUAAGGAUCUAGAAAUACCACAAAAGAGAGACUAGAGAGAGUCAUACAAGGAAUCUCUGAGUUUUAUUUGAAAAUCUGCAAAAACUCCAGAGCUAUAGUUAACCGAAGAACAAGAGACAUGGCGCUUGACGAGACCGUUCUAUCUUUUAACUGCUCAAGACAUAAGUGAUGGUUGCAAGCCCCAUGGUGGAAGGUAAAAUGAGUAAGUUUAAAUAUUAACAGUUUACCCUAACCCUGAGAUG
RNAcentral lists this long non-coding RNA (1028 nucleotides) under Sorghum bicolor (sorghum). RNAcentral's name for it is "long non-coding RNA (SBIC_LNC006563)". Lineage: Eukaryota; Viridiplantae; Streptophyta; Magnoliopsida; Poales; Poaceae. The record is from RNAcentral.